CGAAGAUUUUUAGGGGCGCACGGCGGAUGCCUUGGCAUCGGAAGUCGACGAAGGGCGCGGCAAGCCGCGAUAGUCCCCGGGGAGGAGCAAACGUCCACGGAUCCGGGGGUGCCCGAAUGGGGAAACCCGCGCGGGGUCAUGCCCGCGCACCC
This 152-nucleotide ribosomal RNA is filed under the name Slackia equolifaciens. RNAcentral's name for it is "partial 23S ribosomal RNA". It matches the Rfam family "Bacterial large subunit ribosomal RNA", at positions 1 to 153 of the family's 2925-position model. The record is from RNAcentral. Lineage: Bacteria; Bacillati; Actinomycetota; Coriobacteriia; Eggerthellales; Eggerthellaceae.